UACGUAGGGUGCAAGCGUUGCCCGGAAUUAUUGGGCGUAAAGAGCUCGUAGGCGGCCUGUUGCGUCUGCUGUGAAAUCCCGGGGCUUAACCCCGGGCGUGCAGUGGAUACGGGCAGGCUGGAGGCAGGCAGGGGAGAAUGGAAUUCCCGGUGUAGCGGUGAAAUGCGCAGAUAUCGGGAGGAACACCGGUGGCGAAGGCGGUUCUCUGGGCCUGUUCUGACGCUGAGGAGCGAAAGCGUGGGGAGCGAACAGG
This 253-nucleotide ribosomal RNA is filed under the name uncultured bacterium. Its description in RNAcentral is "partial 16S ribosomal RNA". It matches the Rfam family "Bacterial small subunit ribosomal RNA", at positions 524 to 776 of the family's 1533-position model. The record is from RNAcentral.